GGCAGAUACUGGGGAGACUCAAAGGAGAAUCGCCAUUUUGAAAACGAACAAACUGCUCCAGAGAAGCAGUGUGGCUCACUGCGCUAUCCCCCAGGUCAGAUCAGCUCCUAGCUCAGCUUCCAAUGAAUCUAUCCAGCUCUCUGUCCCCAAAGCCUUCCUAAAGCCACAUCUGCUUCCUUGUUCCACUGUUGGGUUUUCUUGGUCUUUUUCCAACGCCCACUGAACAAAGGAGUCACAGCAAACCUGUCCUGUGUCCCCAAACCCACCCUACACUGUAAGCACAUCAGAUCACCUGCUUCUCUACUCCACAUUUUUCCUGCCUCAGUGACUUCCCUCGAGCCGUGUCCACCGCUUAGUGUGCCUGUUCUUUCUCAGCGUGUCCAAAUCUAACGCAAGCCGCCAAGCCCAGCUCACAUGCUGCCACAGCCUCUUAAAGCCUCUGCUUUUAUCUUCCCUGGUGCUUCUAAGCCAUUCUACCCCAAUCUAGUUUUUAGUUUCCUCAGGGGUCUGGGAGUACCUUCAGAAACCCAGACCGAUUGGAAUGUCGAGUAGUUCACUUUUUCCUACAACCUUGGGGAACAACUUGGACUGUCCCACUGUCCCUGCUAUAAAGCUGGGAUAUCACCUGCUUUUCUGGGCUGGGUGAGGAUUAAGCAAAAACACCCAGCCCUAUAAUGCCUCAAGUACAGACUGGGAGACUAAUGAGGUAAUGAUUGUGAGAGGCACCAAGUCGGACCAGGUGUGGCUGGAUCUGCUGAGUCCAGGAAACUCAAUGUUUCUCAUUUAUCUCCUCUCCAAAUGCCUGACUCCCACCUAGGGAAAUUAGGUGUGUGUGUGUGUGUGUGUGUGUGUGUGGGUGCAUGUGCGCGUGCGUGUGCGUGUGUGUGCGCGCGUGUGUCCUUGCCUAUCUGGAACUUAUGAUCUGACUCUUUCUUCUGAGUUUGGGAUUACGGGUAGGUACCACCCAUGCCCAGUUUGCUGUUGUGCUUAAAGGCUGCUAAGCUUUGGAGUCAUAGGCAACCUGUUGCACCAGCAGCCUGCUGGGCCCCACCCUGAACCUUCUGAAUCAGAUUUCCGUCGGUGAGUGAGGCCAAGGAAGCUGCAUUUAAAAAUGAGAUAGAUUGACUGUAUUUGUGGGUAUGAGUACUUUGUCUGCAAGCAUUUAUGUGCACCAUGUGCAUGCCUGGUGUCUUAGGAAGUCAGAGGAGGCCGUUGGAGCUCCUAGAACUGGACUUACAGGUGGUUGUGAGCCUCCGUGUGGGUGCUAAUAGUUGACACGGGUCCUUUGCUAAAACAAGUGUUGUAAUCGCUGGACCGGCCCAGGAAUCUUCAUUUUGGACAAACCUCGAAGGAGAGAGCUUCAGCAACAGCUCUAGCCACGCUGGGCCAUAGGGAACACAGAGAACAACUGAGAUAAGAACAGGAGGGCAACACUAUCCCCUUUGUCCAAGAGUGGUGGAGGUGAACUUGGAGAGUGACAAUGUCAACAAAAAAUUCCCCUCUGUUCUCUCUCAGCUCCUCUUUGAGCCUUGGCCUCAGAGUGCAUCUAGGGCCAAUCAGUAGCCAGACAGGGUUACCGGAUUCACUCCUGGCUCUCCAGUCAUUCAUACUCAGCAAAUAUUUGUUGAAGCAACUCAACUCCCAAGGGGCCAGUUCUGAACAGAAGAAGACUCAAUACCCAGCCUACUGCCCUAGAUUCCAGCACCUGUUUUUCCCUCUGGGCCAGGGUGUGGCCACACAGAACCAAUAAGCUUGCUCGAGUAUUCACGGUGAGGAGGUGGACAGAAGAAUGUAUAGAAAGGCACAUUGGUUCUCAGCCUAGGGAGUCAUGUUGUGGAGAGAAAGCUGGGUAGGAGUGACAAUAUGAGGGACCCUUCUUUAUCUACGGCACAAGCAGACACCGGCCAUCAAGGAUCCGUCCAACUGAGACCAGACGGUGGUCUGUUUCUGAGCUCUGCCCCGGUCUCUCAACCCCAGCCUCAAAUAGUAUAUCUCAGGUUUGAAAAGGGUCCAUGCUUGGGCCACGCCCCUCCAAACAAUGGAGUUCAGAUUUUUGGGUGAUAGCUAAACAUCAGAGCCCCCCCCCCCGAAACAGCACAAGAGCUCCUAGUUCAUGGCCUCGGUUGGAAAAUUGCUGGUGAGCUGCAUUCUUUUUCUUCUCCUUUUGCCUCUGAUUGCUUGGAGCCUAAAGAUCCCAGAUAUUUAAUCAUAGCAAUCACAGCUAAGAGUUAGGAAGGACCUAUACAUCUGCCAAUGAAUGCCCCUGGCUUCACCAAAAAGCCAUUGGCUGCCGGGAAGAUGGACUGGGAAACAGGAAUUAUAAUGCACAGCACAGGAAGGCCUGGGAAUAGCCCCACCUCAGGUCCUGGGCGUCCGCAGGAAAGAGUAGAUAGAAGUUUCUGGAGACACCUCGGAGUCUGAAUGGAGGGUGGGGGAAAAGACCGGACAGUGGGCUUGAGCCUGGGGAGACAUGGGAAGGAGCGGGGAGGGAGUGGAGGGGAGGGGGGUGAACUCUAGAUAGAAGAAACUAAGCAGUUCCAAGCACAGAGGAAGACAAGCAGGCACAGAGGCCCAUCCCUAACCAAGAAGCUAUUUGCAGCGACAUCUGCCAGGAGAAGGAAGAUCCAUUCUCUCCAAAGGACUGUCAGUGGGUAUGUCAACCUCGAUCCAGGGCAGGCCCCAUGCCCAGGGGUAGCUGGCCAGCACAAGUGUGGACUCCGUAUUUUUUGUGCACAUUUUGUUUUGAUUUGCUAUUUUUUUUUGGCGUUUUUUUGGCUUUGUUUGCUUCUAAUUUGUUUUCCUUGUGGGUUAUUUGUUGUUGUCGUCGUUGUUGUUCUUUUCUUUUUGAGGGAAAGAGAGGGAGAGAAAAUGAAGUUGAAUGGGUAGCGAGGUGGGAAGGAUCUAGGAAGAGUUGGGGGAAGGGAAAGAGUAUGAUUAAAAAUAUACUUUUUGAAGACAAAUAAAUAAAUAAAUAAACACAUAAAAACAGAUG
RNAcentral lists this long non-coding RNA (2992 nucleotides) under Mus musculus (house mouse). RNAcentral's name for it is "long non-coding RNA chr19:53483493-53486485". Lineage: Eukaryota; Metazoa; Chordata; Mammalia; Rodentia; Muridae. The record is from RNAcentral.